Molecule: non-coding RNA, 2909 nt
Organism: Musa acuminata subsp. malaccensis (wild Malaysian banana)
Lineage: Eukaryota; Viridiplantae; Streptophyta; Magnoliopsida; Zingiberales; Musaceae
Source: RefSeq, a predicted model, not a curated record
UCAUAAUCUCCGUCUCAGCAGGAUACCUUAUCUUGGCCUCCAUCACAUCGAAGGCAGGUUGGAAGAGGAAGGUGGAGUCGUCGGCGGAGACAUGGUGGUGAAGAAGGUGAUGAGUCUCUCCCGUUGGGCACCUCCGGGGCCGGCGAGGAGGAAGAGGAAGUGCAAGGUCACGGUGAAGGUGGUGGGUCUCGAGGGGCUUCCGCCGCUCCCGGGGGAAGGGAGGGUGGCGGCGGUCGAGGUCCGAUGGAGGCAGCCGCACAAGGUCGGGGCGCUUGCGUAUCUCAUGGGAAGGAAGAAGCAGGCCCGAAGCGUUUCUUCGCGCAGGCCGGUGGUGGAAGACAGCUGGGCCGUCCGAUGGGACUACGACGACGAGGCGAACCGGUUCGAGAACGUGUGUCGGCUCUGCGAUCCGGAGUCGGUCGCCGAUCCCGUCCAUGACGUUUCCUUCUCCAUUCUAUACGGAUGUGGUGAUGGAGGAGGCAAGCUAAACAAACUGGAAACAAUUGGGACGACAAUGGUAAAUCUAGCCGAGUGGGCUAAGGAAUAUGAAUCCAAGAGAAAAGGAGAAAGAGCAGAACAGAAGGAAUUCAAGAAGCAGCUUUGCAUCACCUUAAAGAAGGAAGGCUUGACGAGCCAUGGAAUGCUUCAUGUCACUGCAAGUUUCACGGAGGUGAGGCCUUUUGGAGUAAUGGAAAAGGCAUCACCUUGUGAAGACAAGAUGAUGGUAGAACGCCAGGGCAGCCAACAAAUGAAAUCUGACGAUUCAGGAAGCUUUGACACAGAAGAUAUGGUUUUGGAUCGGCUUAUUCUGCUUCGAGAAGAGGAAGAUACUUCCGAAGUUUGUAAUCAUCACAAUCACACUGCCAGCAGCAGCAACAGCUGGCGAUCAAGUCCAGAGUCAGAAUCAUCUUCAAAGAGCUGGUUCCAAUGGAGCAAGAGGAGAAAAGUUACCAAUAUGGUUAGAGAUCUUGAGGGAGAAACCACGAAGCCUUCCUCCUUUCAUGAAGACAAUUUAUCCGAAAAUGGCAAGAAGGAUUCAGCAGAGUCUGAUGAAGACGAUGAUCCAGUAGGCAACUGGAGAAACAAAGAAUUCAUCAGCAGGGACAAGCAAACAAAGCUCAAAGUCCAGACAUUCUUUGCUUCCAUUGAUCAGCGAGAUCCUAGUGCCGGUGGAGAGAGUGCUUGCACAGCAAUAGCCGCUGUGAUUGCAAGUGCGCUCCAUGAUAAUGAACUCAACACACCAACUAGAUCAGAAUUUGAUGCACUUAUUAGAGAAGGCUCAUCCGAGUGGCAAAAGUUGUGCAACAACCUGACAUAUAUUGAAAGCUUUCCUGACAAGCACUUUGACCUUGAGACAAUAUUAGAAGCAAAAAUAAGGCCUAUAUCCGUUUUACCAGACAAAUCUUUCAUAGGAUUCUUCCGACCAGAGAACUUCAAAUCUUUGCAUGGAGCAAUGUCGUUUGAUGACAUAUGGCAUGAGAUAACUAGUGAUGUUGGAGGAGAUAGUAAGGUCUAUAUUGUAGGUUGGAAUGAUCACUUCUUCAUGCUAAAGCUGGAAGUAAAUGCAUACUAUGUGAUGGAUACUCUGGGAGAGAGAUUGUAUGAAGGAUGCAAGAAGGCCUAUAUGCUAAGGUUUGAUGACUCCACGGAGAUGUCCAGGUGGCAUGAAAACAAGGCAAUUGAAGACAGGGAAGAGCUGAUUUGUAGAGGGAAGGAAUGUUGCAGGGAAUUCAUAAAUAGAUUCUUAGCGGCUAUACCAUUACAGGAGGAGUUGGAGUUGGAGGAGAAGGGAAUUGGGAUCAACACAGCCCUCCACCAGAGGUUGCAGAUUGAGUUCCAGUUGACAGAGGCUUCAGCAGACUAAGACAAUGAUCCAUCAAAGGAUGGCAAUUGGAAAAAUAACAGUGAUUUUUAUAGCAACAACUAUUGGACUAAGAAAAGCAAUGGCACCAUGUGCGACACCUGGAGAAGAAAUAGCAAUUGGAAUCACAAUAGCGAUUGGAGAAGUGACAGCAUUUGGACUAACAACAGUGCUAGUGACAGAUUGUAAUAAAGAUGAUUAUUGAGAUGACACUUAAUGUAUGUGAGGAAUACCAUAACAGCAUUUGUAAAUCUGAAUGCUGUACAACUGAGAAGGAUGAUGAAAGACUGAUCUCUCUGAAAAAUGUCAACAAGAUGUACAUAGGGGUGUGAAAUGGUCAAUCUCAACAACAAUCUCAGAAUCUUAUCAAAAUACCAAUAUGAUGUUCAUCUAUGAGAAAAGCUUGUUAUGAUGAAAUCUCAGCAGGAAAUUUUGUUUUAUGCAGAGUCCAUGAGAAAACACAUGCAACAAAUUUCAGGCUCCAGAAUACAUGGUUAUGAGGUACUGGACCGAUUUCAAGAAGACACGAUAAAAUGCAUUGGCAAGUUCUGUUCCCUGACCUGAAACUAAGUGGCAACUUUAAGUUCCUUACAAGUACUUGUGGGUGUGCUGAGGUGAACAUAAGUGUCAAUGUCCAAGCUCUAAGACAGGCUAAGCAGGACAUAAGAGGCUGCUACAAUCUGAAAAGUGUUCAUCCUGUUGAUGCUCCCUCGUGUUGCCCACAUUGAAUGUGUCUGCUUGCUGGAGCUUUAUCGAUUCUGGUUCUCAAUUCCAUGGUCUGAAACAGAAUGUUCUCGGUGAAACCAAGUGGACUAAAUACCGGAAAAGAAGAUGAAAAGCUGGAGAUAUGAAACAAUAUCAUGGAGCACUAAUAAUGGCUUUGAUGGAGCAACUCAUUAAGGGAGAGUGGAUGGGUUCUCUCUUUGAGGAGGAAUGUGGAAGAAAGGAGGCUGAUCCAUGAUAUCCAAGAAACCAUUUCUCAUCUUUCUUUGAUGUUGUUGUUCUUAAAUCUGACAUUUUAUCAUACAUUAUACUUUUGUUGUCACAA